Molecule: ribosomal RNA, 277 nt
Filed under: uncultured bacterium
Lineage: Bacteria
Description: partial 16S ribosomal RNA
Rfam family: Bacterial small subunit ribosomal RNA
Source: RNAcentral
GAUAAACGCUGGCGGCGUGCCUAACACAUGCAAGUCGAACGCUCUCGCGCAAGCGAGAGAGUGGCGGACGGGUGAGUAACACAUGGGUACCUGCCUUUCAGUGAGGAAUACCGGCGAGAAAUCGCCGACAAGACCGCAUACGCCUGGUUGGCAACGACCAAGCAAAGGUGCUUCGCGAGGAGUGCCGCUGGAAGAGGGGCCUGUGGCCGAUUAGCUAGUUGGGGGGGUAAUGGCCUCCCAAGGCGACGAUCGGUAGCUGGUCUGAGAGGACGAUCAG